RNAcentral lists this non-coding RNA (383 nucleotides) under Aspergillus oryzae RIB40. RNAcentral describes it as "Eukaryotic large subunit ribosomal RNA". It matches the Rfam family "Eukaryotic large subunit ribosomal RNA", at positions 1 to 379 of the family's 3401-position model. The record is from Rfam by way of RNAcentral. Lineage: Eukaryota; Fungi; Ascomycota; Eurotiomycetes; Eurotiales; Aspergillaceae.
UGACCUCGGAUCAGGUAGGGAUACCCGCUGAACUUAAGCAUAUCAAUAAGCGGAGGAAAAGAAACCAACCGGGAUUGCCUCAGUAACGGCGAGUGAAGCGGCAAGAGCUCAAAUUUGAAAGCUGGCUCCUUCGGGGUCCGCAUUGUAAUUUGCAGAGGAUGCUUCGGGUGCGGCCCCUGUCUAAGUGCCCUGGAACGGGCCGUCAGAGAGGGUGAGAAUCCCGUCUGGGAUGGGGUGUCCGCGCCCGUGUGAAGCUCCUUCGACGAGUCGAGUUGUUUGGGAAUGCAGCUCUAAAUGGGUGGUAAAUUUCAUCUAAAGCUAAAUACUGGCCGGAGACCGAUAGCGCACAAGUAGAGUCAACAUUAGGGUCAACAUUAGGGUCA